This 28-nucleotide non-coding RNA is filed under the name Homo sapiens (human). The record is from RNAcentral. Lineage: Eukaryota; Metazoa; Chordata; Mammalia; Primates; Hominidae.
UGGAGUGUGUUGCUGUUCCUAUUCGGCC